AGUCCAGUGUGUGGGUAGAGUCCAGUGUGUGGGUAGAGUCCAGUGUGUGGGUAGAGUCCAGUGUGUGGGUAGAGUCCAGUGUGUGGGUAGAGUCCAGUGUGUGGGUAGAGUCCAGUGUGUGGGUAGAGUCCAGUGUAUGGGUAGAGUCCAGUGUGUGGAGUAGAUCCAGUGUGUGGGUAGAGUCCAGUGUGUGGGUAGAGUCCAGUGUGUGGGUAGAGUCCAGUGUGUGGGUGGAAGUCCGUGUGUGGGUAGAGUCCAGUGUGUGGGUAGAGUCCAGUGUGUGGGUAGAGUCCAGUGUGUGGGUAGAGUCCAGUGUGUGGGUAGAGUCCAGUGUGUGGGUAGAGUCCUGUGUGUGGGUAGAGUCCAGUGUGUGGGUAGAGUCCAGUGUGUGGGUAGAGUCCAGUGUGUGGGUAGAGUCCAUGUGUGGUAGAGUCCAGUGUGUGGGUAGAGUCCAGUGUGUGGAUAGAGUCCAGUGUGUGGGUAGAGUCCAGUGUGUGGGUAGAGUCCAGUGUGUGGGUAGAGUCCAGUGUGUGGGUAGAGUCCAGUGUGUGGGUAGAGUCCAGUGUGUGGGUAGAGUCCAGUGUGUGGGUAGAGUCCAGUGUGUGGGUAGAGUCCAGUGUGUG
RNAcentral lists this long non-coding RNA (623 nucleotides) under Salmo salar (Atlantic salmon). RNAcentral's name for it is "lncRNA (ENSSSAG00000090749.1)". Lineage: Eukaryota; Metazoa; Chordata; Actinopteri; Salmoniformes; Salmonidae. The record is from RNAcentral.